UACGUAGGGUGCGAGCGUUAAUCGGAAUUACUGGGCGUAAAGCGUGCGCAGGCGGUUUUGUAAGACAGGUGUGAAAUCCCCGGGCUUAACCUGGGAACUGCGCUUGUGACUGCAAGACUCGAGUACGGCAGAGGGGGGUAGAAUUCCACGUGUAGCAGUGAAAUGCGUAGAUAUCAAGUGGAACACCAGUGGCGAAGGCGAGUCUCUGGACAUUUCCUGACGCUGAGG
Molecule: ribosomal RNA, 228 nt
Filed under: uncultured prokaryote
Description: partial 16S ribosomal RNA
Rfam family: Bacterial small subunit ribosomal RNA
Source: RNAcentral